GAUGAACGCUGGCGGCGUGCCUAAUACAUGCAAGUCGAGCGAACAGAUAAGGAGCUUGCUCCUUUGACGUUAGCGGCGGACGGGUGAGUAACACGUGGGUAACCUACCUAUAAGACUGGAAUAACUCCGGGAAACCGGGGCUAAUGCCGGAUAACAUUUAGAACCGCAUGGUUCUAAAGUGAAAGAUGGUUUUGCUAUCACUUAUAGAUGGACCCCCGCCGUAUUAGCUAGUUGGUAAGGUAACGGCUUACCAAGGCAACGAUACGUAGCCGACCUGAGAGGGUGAUCGGCCACACUGGAACGGAGACACGGUCCAGACUCCUACGGGAGGCAGCAGUAGGGAAUCUUACGCAAUGGGCGAAAGCCUGACGGAGCAACGCCGCGUGAGUGAUGAAGGUCUUCGGAUCGUAAAACUCUGUUAUUAGGGAAGAACAAAUGUGUAAGUAACUGUGCACGUCUUGACGGUACCUAAUCAGAAAGCCACGGCUAACUACGUG
This 497-nucleotide ribosomal RNA is filed under the name uncultured bacterium. Its description in RNAcentral is "partial 16S ribosomal RNA". It matches the Rfam family "Bacterial small subunit ribosomal RNA", at positions 28 to 507 of the family's 1533-position model. The record is from RNAcentral.